Non-coding RNA from Oncorhynchus mykiss (rainbow trout), 330 nucleotides. The record is from RefSeq and is a predicted model, not a curated record. Lineage: Eukaryota; Metazoa; Chordata; Actinopteri; Salmoniformes; Salmonidae.
CAGUUGUCUUGAAAAUAACCAUAAAUCAAGAGAAUGACAGACCUUGAUGACAAAAUUUGCCCACGAAGGACAGCCGUGCUACCUUCCUGUUCAAGUGAGCACAGCACAACAAGUCUAUCAACGUUGCUACAUUUUGGUGCAAGACCUUCCUCAAGCCUUCAAAUGUUCCUGUGUCCCUCAACUGAAGUGAUCCCGUGACUCACCAGAGGUUCUUUCCCACCCACCAUUUGAGAAACAGUUUGAACUGAGCAAAGUCUUGAGAGAGGGAAGUAUAAGAAGACCUGAGCCCUAGGACCAUGCCCCAGGACUACCUGACAUGAUGACUCCUUG